UUUUGCUAUAUUUUUAGCUCCUGAAAUGGAUUUGAGAAUGCCAACUGUAAUUCUUUUCAUUAUGAUUUGUUUGUUUCUACAAUGGGAUAGACUUUAAUGAUACAUAUUCUAGGAAAUUAUUUUUCUUGUCACCUAUGGACAAAAGAAAAAGCCAAUUAAACAGUCAAUUCCUUAUUGCCCUUUCUAAAAGGCAGUCCUUCUUCAAUUUAUCUGAAGCUUGUUUUUGUUUUCCAUUUUCACAUACUUCUAGUUGAGGGAUUCUUAAUCUGGGAUCUGGAGAUCCUUAAAAUAUCCAUGGAGAGAUUUCAAGAUGUCAGUAAGCUUGUAUGGAAAAAAAUUAUAACUUUAAUUCACUAUAAUUGAUUUUCUUUGUGAUUCUAUUUAUUUUGUUUCAUGUAUUUAGAAACGGAGGUGGAGUUAAAAUGGUGGCUUAAAGACAGCAACAGUUCAGACCUCUGCAAACCCUUCCUCACCAAUCAAAAACAAUGCUUCAAGGUGCCUGAAAACCAAAUGUAACAACAGGACAGAGCUAGGGAACUCUCCUCCUGGACCAAACUUAAAAGGAUCUUGGCCUGGGACUGCUGCUGGAGCUACAACUUGGACCUGGGACUCUGGAUCUUGGACUGCUGCUAGUAAGACUGCUCCUGGAUCUUCUCCCUUUGGAGCUACUGCUUGGAGUCAUUGAAGUCCAAUAGCUAGACUAAAGUCAACAACUGGUGAUGUCUCAGGGGUGCAGUGGAUGACCUCCAGUUCUUUGAGUGCUUCAGCCACCUUCAGAGACACUAGAACAAAUUGUUCUCAUGCAUUGCUUCACAUGUCUAGGGAAGACAUCCCCUUAAUUCCCUGACAGAUUUGAAGCUUGUCACUUGCUCUAAACUUGAUUUAGCUUGUCUGCCAAGAUAAUUUAUCAGGCUGUGACCACUGGGCAUGCUGCAACUUCUUGAAGUCAAAGAUGAAAACUGGGACUACUAGUCUUCCCUGAACACCCUGUAUACUCAUAGAGGUAGGUGGCACAGGUAAAGAACCAAGCCUAGAGUCAGGAGGAUCUGAGUUCAAGUCUUGCCUCAUACACUUACUAGAUGUAUGACCCUUUGGGCAAGUCACUUAACCCUGUUUACCUCAGUUUCUUUAUCUGUGAAAUUGAUUGGAGAAGGAAAUGACAAACCACUCUAAUAUGUUUGCCAAGAAAAUCCCAAAUGGGGUUAUAGUUGAACCUGAUGAAAAAACAAGAACCGUCUAUACUGAUAUGUGAAAUACUAAAGACUAAGAAGAAUAACUGAAUGAAGUUCUUCAUCAUUAUC
RNAcentral lists this long non-coding RNA (1301 nucleotides) under Monodelphis domestica (gray short-tailed opossum). RNAcentral's name for it is "lncRNA (ENSMODG00000048284.1)". The record is from RNAcentral. Lineage: Eukaryota; Metazoa; Chordata; Mammalia; Didelphimorphia; Didelphidae.